GCCAGGCCGAUUGAGCGCCGCUAUCGUUCGCAUAGGCACAUCGAACGCACGUUGUUUUUGUUGAAACGUGCGUUCGGUGUUAUAGUGAACGGUGUUUGAUAACCACCGAGCCUGGCGACUGCCCAUGAUCAGACAACGCACACUGAAGAACGUCAUCCGCGCCACCGGCGUCGGCCUGCACUCCGGCAAGAAGGUCU
RNAcentral lists this small RNA (197 nucleotides) under Halomonas sp. THAF12. RNAcentral's name for it is "Proteobacterial sRNA Xoo8". The record is from RNAcentral. Lineage: Bacteria; Pseudomonadati; Pseudomonadota; Gammaproteobacteria; Oceanospirillales; Halomonadaceae.